AUUGAACGCUGGCGGUAGGCCUAACACAUGCAAGUCGAGCGGAUGAAGGGUGCUUGCUCCUGGUUUCAGCUGCGGACUGGUGAGUAAUGCCUAGGAAUCUGGCUGGUUGUUGGGGCUAGCGUGCGUAAACGGGCGCUAAUACGCCAUACGUCCUGAGGGAGAAAGUGGGGGAUCUUCGGAUCUCCCGCCAUUAGAUGAGCCUAUGUCGGAGUAGCUAGUUGGUGGGGUAAAGGCCUACCAAGGCGACGAUCCGUAACUGGUCUGAGAGGAUGAUCAGUCACACUGGAACUGAGACACGGUCCAGACUCCUACGGGAGGCAGCAGUGGGGAAUAUUGGACAAUGGGCGAAAGCCUGAUCCAGCCAUACCGCGUGUGUGAAGAAGGUCUUCGGGUUGUAAAGCCCUUUUAUUGGGGAAGAAGGGCAGUAAGUUAAUACCUCGCUGUUUUGACGGUACCAACAGAAUAAGCACCGGCUAACUUCGUG
RNAcentral lists this ribosomal RNA (484 nucleotides) under uncultured bacterium. RNAcentral's name for it is "partial 16S ribosomal RNA". It matches the Rfam family "Bacterial small subunit ribosomal RNA", at positions 30 to 507 of the family's 1533-position model. The record is from RNAcentral.